Molecule: long non-coding RNA, 703 nt
Organism: Antechinus flavipes (yellow-footed antechinus)
Lineage: Eukaryota; Metazoa; Chordata; Mammalia; Dasyuromorphia; Dasyuridae
Exons: 3
Source: RefSeq, a predicted model, not a curated record
AACAUCUUGUCUCCCAGGCCAUCCAUUAUUAGGCGUUGUUUCCAAGGGACUUUUAAAGGUCAGUGGCAGUGGGGAAGAGAAGAGAAAGAUGGGGUUAGAAUUAGAGAUGUAGCUGAUGGAGAUCAAGUGGGAAGGGGCUGACAUGGCCAUCCAUUCUCUACCUCCAAAUUCAGUCCUGGUUCAGUCCUACUGACACGAUUGCGGCUGGCCACUAGGGGGUGGCCAAGGUAUGGGGAACAUCUCUAUAUUCCUUCUUUGAGCAAAAGAAACUUUGGACUUCUUUUACAAGAGUUUUUUUACCAGGAAGCACCUCAAAUUGCCUUACACAUAACAGGAGCUACUCAAUACUUCUUGGAUUGGUUUGGAGCAAGAAUCACUUGGAUGUCAAGCUGAGAUCUGUAUCAGUUUAGGGAGUUCUCACACAUAUGAAGUCAUGAUCAAUUAUAAUAUCAAAGAAAAAUCAAUUAUUGCUAAUUCAUUAUAAUUAGCUGAUGUCUUUUUUUCAAAGAAAACUUUAUGCCUCAAAUUGGUUCAAUCUUACUUCUCCAAAAGGCCUUUAAAGAGCAGGCCCCCAAAUGGAAAACACAUCAUAAGAUUGUGGGGAUAUGUUUUUGAGAAGGUUCCUAUUCCAAGAAAGCUAUCACUAAUGUCAAUAUGGAGGCAAAAUUGAGCGUCCUGGAUCAGCGAUAAAUAAGCAUUUUGG